Molecule: long non-coding RNA, 1573 nt
Filed under: Gossypium barbadense (sea-island cotton)
Lineage: Eukaryota; Viridiplantae; Streptophyta; Magnoliopsida; Malvales; Malvaceae
Description: long non-coding RNA (GBAR_LNC018937)
Source: RNAcentral
CACAUUUUCUAUUCUAAAUACAUUCUAAUCAAACUCAAUUAAUUCAAUAUCAAUUUAAAUUUAUCAAUGUACUAAUUAAAUUGGAAUGGAUAAAUUUCUUUCAUUAAAAUUCUUAGAUUUAUAAUACUAACAUUUUUAACUAUUUAUAUUCAAAACAUAAUAACGUUUAUACACAUCCUAUGUACAUGCCACAUUACUAAAAGAAAAUAUACAUCACCAAAAUUUGUUGAAGUCGGGUCUGGCUUUGGAUGCUGAUUCAGUACUUGACUUCUACAACCUGCGCAUGGAAACAACUGUACGCUGAGUAUUUUAUACUCAGUGGUAUUACUAUAAAUUAAACUAUUUAAUAAUAAAAUUUCAAAUAUUGACCAUAAUCUUAUAAAUCACUUUAAAUUAAAUAUACAUAUUCAUAUAUCAUUCCAUAGAUCUUAAAUUUAUAUAUAUAUUUACAUACUAAUUAAAUUUAUAAUUUAACUCAUACAUUCUUUCUCGUAUUUUUCUAUAGUGUCAAAUCAACCAAUUUCAUUUUCAAAUUUUCAUUUCAAUUAUUUACCCUAUUAACAAGGCUCGGACUUUGACAGAUACGAGGAUUCCACCCAAACACACCAGAAUAUCCAACCUAAACACACCCGGAAUUAUUUAAAUCCUCCAGAACACACCAAUAAGGCAUUAAAUGCCUCUUCGGAUAAACCGAAGCAUAUAAUAAUAUAAUCAUCUUCUCGGCCGAACUACAAAUCUCAUCACCACAUCACAAAUCCAAUGGCAUGCCAUUUGUAUCCAAUCUAGUCCGAUAAGUUAAUAGGGUAUUAUUUUACUUUUCCAAUUUCGAAUUCAUUUCCACACAAUUUCAAAUAUUCAAACAAUUCAAAACAUCUAUUAUUUCAAUUCACAUAUAUUUCAAUAUAGCAUUUAGUAAAUAGUUUAAGUUAUAGUAAUACAAACCCGGAAUACACGUUUACUCCUCAACGAUCUUUUCUUUUUCUUUGGAUGCAGAUGCCUCGUUUUUCUUGUUAGCUACGAAAAUAAUAAUUAUUUUUACUAUUAAUUACAGCAUUAAAAAUAAUAAUAAUAUUAAUUAAAUUUUAUUCAAUUUCUACUUAUUCCCAAUUUAAUUCUAACUAAGCUUACUUAUUUUUCUAACUUAAUUCAUACUUCUUUUCUACUUAAUGUCUUAUCAUAUUUAACUCUACUUUUCAAUAUUCAUAAUUAAACCCUAAUUUAAGACUCUUUAUAACUUAAUCCCAACUAUGUAAAAUUUAUAACUUGUUUACAAAUCAAUCUUUUUAUCUAUUCUAACUAGAAAUUCUAUCAACUAAACCCCUAAUUUAACAACUUGUUCAAAAUGAAUCAUGUUCAAAAACCUAGGAACUUCCAUAACCUCCACUUGAUUUCAACAAAACUUUGUUUUAAAGUUUCUAAAUCAUCAAAAUUAAGAGAAAAGGGCUAAAUUUAACUUACCAAUUAAGCUUGAAGCUUUAAAAUCCAAUUUUCCCCUUUUCUUUUCUUUCCCCUUUUUCUUCCCCUGUUUUCGUCUCUUUCUCUAUUUCUAUUCUGUUCUUCGUUUGUAUCUUUU